UACGUAGGUGACAAGCGUUGUCCGGAUUUAUUGGGCGUAAAGAGCUCGUAGGCGGCUCGUUGCGUCGGCUGUGAAAACCCGCAGCUCAACUGUGGGCUUGCAGCCGAUACGGGCGGGCUGGGAUUCGGUAGGGGAGACUGGAAUUCCUGGUGUAGCGGUGAAAUGCGCAGAUAUCAGGAGGAACACCGGUGGCGAAGGCGGGUCUCUGGGCCGAUAUCGACGCUGAGGAGCGAAAGCGUGGGGAGCGAACAGG
Molecule: ribosomal RNA, 253 nt
Filed under: uncultured bacterium
Lineage: Bacteria
Description: partial 16S ribosomal RNA
Rfam family: Bacterial small subunit ribosomal RNA
Source: RNAcentral